UACGAAGGGGCUAGCGUUGUUCGGAAUUACUGGGCGUAAAGCGCGCGCAGGCGGUCUUCCAAGUCAGUGGUGAAAGCCCGGAGCUCAACUCCGGAACUGCCAUUGAAACUGUUAGACUUGAGGAUGAGAGAGGUGAGUGGAAUUCCCAGUGUAGAGGUGAAAUUCGUAGAUAUUGGGAAGAACACCGGUGGCGAAGGCGGCUCACUGGCUCAUUACUGACGCUCAGGCGCGAUAGCGUGGGGAUCAAACAGG
This 252-nucleotide ribosomal RNA is filed under the name uncultured bacterium. RNAcentral describes it as "partial 16S ribosomal RNA". It matches the Rfam family "Bacterial small subunit ribosomal RNA", at positions 524 to 776 of the family's 1533-position model. The record is from RNAcentral.